This 492-nucleotide ribosomal RNA is filed under the name uncultured bacterium. Its description in RNAcentral is "partial 16S ribosomal RNA". It matches the Rfam family "Bacterial small subunit ribosomal RNA", at positions 29 to 507 of the family's 1533-position model. The record is from RNAcentral.
AGUGAACGCUGGCGGUAGGCCUAACACAUGCAAGUCGAACGGCAGCACAGUAAGAGCUUGCUCUUACGGGUGGCGAGUGGCGGACGGGUGAGGAAUACAUCGGAAUCUACUUUUUCGUGGGGGAUAACGUAGGGAAACUUACGCUAAUACCGCAUACGACCUACGGGUGAAAGCAGGGGAUCUUUGGACCUUGCGCGAUUGAAUGAGCCGAUGUCGGAUUAGCUAGUUGGCGGGGUAAAGGCCCACCAAGGCGACGAUCCGUAGCUGGUCUGAGAGGAUGAUCAGCCACACUGGAACUGAGACACGGUCCAGACUCCUACGGGAGGCAGCAGUGGGGAAUAUUGGACAAUGGGCGCAAGCCUGAUCCAGCCAUACCGCGUGUGUGAAGAAGGCCUUCGGGUUGUAAAGCCCUUUUGUUGGGAAAGAAAAGCAGCAGGUUAAUACCCCGCUGUUCUGACGGUACCCAAAGAAUAAGCACCGGCUAACUACGUG